This 460-nucleotide ribosomal RNA is filed under the name uncultured bacterium. RNAcentral describes it as "partial 16S ribosomal RNA". It matches the Rfam family "Bacterial small subunit ribosomal RNA", at positions 338 to 795 of the family's 1533-position model. The record is from RNAcentral.
CCUACGGGGGGCAGCAGUGAGGAAUAUUGGUCAAUGGCCGGAAGGCUGAACCAGCCAUGCCGCGUGAAGGUCAGUGCCAUAUGGGCGUUAAACUUCUUUUGUGCGGGAGCAAUAAUGGUCACGUGUGGCCAGACGAGAGUACCGUACGAAUAAGCAUCGGCUAACUCCGUGCCAGCAACCGCGGUAAUACGGGGGAUGCAAGCGUUAGCCGGAUUUAUUGGGGUUAAAGGGUGCGGAGGCUGUGAGGUAAGUCAGCGUGGAAAUGCCGCCGCUCAACGGGGUGAAGGGCCAUUGAUACUGCCUGGCUGGAAUGCGGAUGCCGUGGGAGGAAUGUGUGGUGUAGCGGUGAAAUGCAUAGAUAUCACAAAGAACACCGAUUGCGAAGGCAUCUCACGAAUCCGCGAUUGACGCUGAUGCACGAAAGCGUGGGUAUCAAACAGGAUUAGAUACCCGUGUAGUC